Molecule: long non-coding RNA, 221 nt
Organism: Sinocyclocheilus anshuiensis
Lineage: Eukaryota; Metazoa; Chordata; Actinopteri; Cypriniformes; Cyprinidae
Exons: 4
Source: RefSeq, a predicted model, not a curated record
GUUCACCAAUAAAGAAGUCAAGUCUAUGUUGAAAAGAUCUACUGCUCUUGAAUACAAGCUGCACCGAACAGUUCAGAGUAAAGACGAUUUCAUUACAUACAUACAGUAUGAAAUAAACGUCCUAGAGCUUAUCAAGAAGAGGAGAGCGAGAAUUGGAUACCAUUUUAAGUGGGAGGAAAUUGAGAAUCCCAUCAUUCAUCGCAUAAACCAUGUUUUCAGAA